AACGCGAAGAACCUUACCAAGGCUUGACAUACACCGGAAACGGCCGGAGACGGUCGCCCCCUUGUGGUCGGUGUACAGGUGGUGCAUGGCUGUCGUCAGCUCGUGUCGUGAGAUGUUGGGUUAAGUCCCGCAACGAGCGCAACCCUUGUCCCGUGUUGCCAGCAGGCCCUUGUGGUGCUGGGGACUCACGGGAGACCGCCGGGGUCAACUCGGAGGAAGGUGGGGACGACGUCAAGUCAUCAUGCCCCUUAUGUCUUGGGCUGCACACGUGCUACAAUGGCCGGUACAAUGAGCUGCGAUACCGCGAGGUGGAGCGAAUCUCAAAAAGCCGGUCUCAGUUCGGAUUGGGGUCUGCAACUCGACCCCAUGAAGUCGGAGUCGCUAGUAAUCGCAGAUCAGCAUUGCUGCGGUGAAUACGUUCCCGGGCCUUGUACACACCGA
This 441-nucleotide ribosomal RNA is filed under the name uncultured bacterium. RNAcentral describes it as "bacterial SSU rRNA". It matches the Rfam family "Bacterial small subunit ribosomal RNA", at positions 958 to 1393 of the family's 1533-position model. The record is from RNAcentral.